UAAGACAGAAGAGGAACUGGAUAUUUAUGGGUGGAUGCCAGUGAGUCUAACAGCCCCUCUUCAGUGAGUCCCCAGAGCUGCCCUACUAACUCCCUAUGCCAUUCCUGUGUCCAAGGGAGGUGGUCAUGGAGGUGCUCCUCAACUCCUCAGCUGACAGUGUCAGCAUGAUCUGGAUAAGCCAUCCUCAUACUUUGCCACAGGUAUCGUGUAGGGCAUAUUUCAUACCUCAUGAUCACUCAAUUUCAAGUCAGGUGGCAGAGUUUAUCAUGUUUGAUGAUGUGCACGUCAAAAUCUCACAGGCAUAUGGGCACUGAAACUGAAAAUCAUUAGAUGUUUAUGGAAAUGCUGCUUGCGUCCUUUGUCCAUCUUUCCAUUACUGCCAGAUAAGAUUCAUGUGACCAAGGCUUUCAUUUGGGAAUCAGUGACAACACCUGUUGGUGAUCUUCUCAAGAAGCUCACUUACACCUGAACAUUUUGUAACUUCAGCUUAUCCAUGUGCUGCUCAAAAUAUGCCUUCCUUCACUCUAAGGAUCUCAGUCUUGGCACUGGGAGACACCACAACCCGGUACUUUCCCAAGAAAUCAGAUUCUUUUCCUAGUGAUGUCCAUCUUAGGCAACUUUAUCCCUGCUUUGACACGAAAUAAGUUGCUUUCUAGGUCUGCACAGAGUGGGCCAACUUCUACUGUGGCUUUGGAACCAUUUCUGAAGUUCUUUCUUCAGAAGUAAACCUUCAUUUAAAAAUAUGGUUUGUUGAAUAAACAUUUUUGGGGGCAAUUCCCUGUUUUACAUGAGUGUUGAAGACCAUAGCGGUAUUGCUAUAAAGCAUCAGACUGGAUCAUAUUCAUGAGCAAAUGAAAAAAAUGCCUAGAUUUAUAGACAAUGUUAAUAUCUUUGACAAAUAUCCACUACUUCAGCUCUCAUGUUUGCUUUUUACUUAUGUACUUGCACUAAUAAUGUUCUCUUGAAGAAGAAAAAGCACCUGAGAUAGUUCACUUUGCCAGUCAUUCCUGAAUGGUUUGUCAGCAUGUGAUUAUGAACUGUCUUUAAAGUCGUGGUGUAAUACCUUCACUAAUUUCUCUACUGUUAAACAGUGGGUAAGAACUGAAUUGCUACCACUGGGUAGGAUUUUAAUAAAGAUCUU
This is a non-coding RNA of Meleagris gallopavo (turkey), 1141 nucleotides long. The record is from RefSeq and is a predicted model, not a curated record. Lineage: Eukaryota; Metazoa; Chordata; Aves; Galliformes; Phasianidae.